UGGGGAAUUUUGGACAAUGGGCGCAAGCCUGAUCCAGCCAUGCCGCGUGAGUGAAGAAGGCCUUCGGGUUGUAAAGCUCUUUCGGACGGGAAGAAAUGGCGGGCUCUAACAUAGCCUGUCGAUGACGGUACCGUAAGAAGAAGCACCGGCUAACUACGUGCCAGCAGCCGCGGUACUACGUAGGGUGCGAGCGUUAAUCGGAUUUACCGGGUUUAAAGGGAGCGUAGGUGGGCUUAUAAGUCAGUGGUGAAAUCUCCGAGCUUAACUUGGAAACUGCCGUUGUUACUAUAGGUCUUGGAUUAUCUGGAGGUAAGCGGAAUAUGUCAUGUAGCGGUGAAAGGCUUAGAUAUGACAUAGAACACCAAUUGAGAAGGCAGCUUACUACAUAUAAAUUGACGCUGAGGCACGAAAGCGUGGGGAUCAAACA
This 427-nucleotide ribosomal RNA is filed under the name uncultured bacterium. RNAcentral's name for it is "bacterial SSU rRNA". It matches the Rfam family "Bacterial small subunit ribosomal RNA", at positions 355 to 774 of the family's 1533-position model. The record is from RNAcentral.